CACGUAUUUAGCCGGUGCUUCUUAGUCAGGUACCGUCAUUUUUCUUCCCUGCUGAUAGGGCUUUACAUACCGAAAUACUUCUUCACCCACGCGGCGUCGCUGCAUCAGGGUUUCCCCCAUUGUGCAAUAUUCCCCACUGCUGCCUCCCGUAGGGGUUUGGGCCGUGUCUCAGUCCCAAUGUGGCCGGUCGCCCUCUCAGGCCGGCUACUGAUCGUCGGUUUGGUGGGCUGUUACCCCGCAACUGCCUAAUCAGACGCGGGCCCAUCCCAUACCGCUAAUGCUUUCCAUCCAGGGGCAUGCACCCCCGCAUGUACAUGCGGUUAUUAGCAGCCGUUUCCGGCUGUUACUCCCCUGUAUGGGGCACGGUUACCACGCGUUACUCACCCGUCCGCCACUCAGUCAAACGGCGCCUUCCUCCCCGAACGGGUAUUCCGCUCCAGUUCGGCUUCGUUCGACUUGCUAGUGUGUUAAGCACGCCCGCCGACGCGUUAC
This 492-nucleotide ribosomal RNA is filed under the name uncultured Lachnospiraceae bacterium. RNAcentral describes it as "partial 16S ribosomal RNA". The record is from RNAcentral. Lineage: Bacteria; Bacillati; Bacillota; Clostridia; Lachnospirales; Lachnospiraceae.